UCCUUUUAAAAUGUAAAUCAAGCCCUUGAUCUAAUCCCAAAGUGGUGCUACUAAAUAUGAACCAUAAGAUUGACAUUGAGUACAGUGAUUGAUGCUUGCUGCUGUAUUGUUGAGGACCCAAUAUUGUAAUCUUUCAUUUAUAUUCUAGUGCAAACGUAACAGUCUUUUGAAUUGUCUACUAUUUUUUGAGUUUACUCCUGGACAUAAGUAGUGUGAUUCUACUAUUAUGUAUAAAAAAUAGUCUCAGAUGUGAAAAAUUAAAAUACUUAUUCAAGAUGACAGAUUUUAAGCAAAUGGAGGGCAUAACAGAAAACAAGAGAGAAAUAAUCAUAUGACUUUCUCUCUUUUUUUUGAGACAGAGUUUCACUCUUGUCACCUAGUCUGGAGUGCAGUGGUGCAAUCUCAGCUUGCUGCAACCUCCGCCUCUUGGGUUCAAGUGAUUCUCCUACCUCAGCCUCCCAAGUAGCUGGGACUACAGGCGCCUGCCACAAUGCCUGGCUAAUUUUUAUGCUUUUUGUAGACUUGUAAAAGUCUUAAACACAUUUGUUGCAUUUUUUUUUCAGAUAGCUCUAUUAUUUUAAUUUCAUGCAGUGUUUAUAUUUCCCAGCCUUUAAUUUUUUUUAUCUUGGCAGCCAUAUUUCUGAUGCACUAUGGAAUUUAUUUGCUUAUUUAUUAACCAAUCAAAUAAGCAGCAGAGAACUAUGAAAUUUUGGUUUUUAAGGUUGCUUUGAUGGGACAUUAUUUUUUUCUCCAUGUUCUUUGCUCGAGGAUUUUUUUUUUUUUUUUUUAGACAGAGUUUCACUCUUGUUACCCAGGCUGGAGCGCAAUGGCUCGAUCUUGGCUAACAACAACCUCCGCCUUCUGGGUUCAGGCAAUUCUCCUGCCUCAGCCUCCUGAGUAGCUGGGAUUACAGGCAUGCGCCACCAUGCCCAGCUAAUUUUUGUAUUUUUAGUAGAGACGGGGUUUCACCAUGUUGACCAGGAUGGUCUCGAUCUCUUGACCUUGUGAUCCACCUGCCUCGGCCUCCCAAAGUGCUGGGAUUACACGCUUGAGCCACCGCGCUCGGCCCGGGUUUUUUUUGUUUUUUUUUUUAAUGCUCUUUCUUCAUAUUUCUCUCCCCCAGUGCUGCACCACCCAGCCCACUAGGGACCCCAAUCCAGAACCAGGUCUUAUGUAGGUGACUUGAGCUGAUGGGCAAUACUGGGGCAAAUGCUGGUCCAGGCAUGGCAUCAGUAGGUAGGCUGGCACAAGCUCUGGGUGAAAGGCAGCUUUAACUUUCCCCCUCCUCCUGCUUAAGCAGCUCUAUAUGAGCUGUAAAUCCAGUUGUUGGUCAAAGGCUUUUUUUUCUUCCUUUCAUAAGCUGGGGAUUCCCUAUUACAGGCCUUGAUUUCAAGCAAUAGGCUGGGUUCUUGUCCCCUAUUCUUCAUAGAUUGCAGGAGCUAAGUUUAUAUCUACUUCUCC
This 1461-nucleotide long non-coding RNA is filed under the name Callithrix jacchus (white-tufted-ear marmoset). RNAcentral's name for it is "lncRNA (ENSCJAG00000083614.1)". The record is from RNAcentral. Lineage: Eukaryota; Metazoa; Chordata; Mammalia; Primates; Cebidae.